UGGACACCCCUGAUCUAGGACGUGUUUUAUGCCACUUAUUUUUCUGUCUCAUUUUGUCCAACAAACUUUUAAUGUUGUGCAUGAAUGCACAAAGUGGCACAUAGGGAUGAUGCACAAACAAGUAUGUCCGUGUCUUCGAAGCAGCGACAGAGACAACGAAGAACGCCCCUCUUCUUCUGCCAGCUGCCCCUGUCCCAGCUACAGUGGCGGUGACGCCGGCUUGACACGUUAAAGACGUCUUUGCCGGUUUGAAUGCUUUUGUAAGAGCGGCACACAGAUUGGAGCAUGGAGAAGUGGUCCUCCUCCCUGUCACAACCUUCUGCCUCCGAGCUGCCAAAACCAUCUUCCUCCCAGCUGACGCUCCACGUUGGCUUUGGCCUGUCUCCUCAUUGUUUGCACCACAUUCAUUACCUCUGAAGGGCUGCUUUUGUGCAAAAAAAAAACUGUUAUAAACUCUAUAC
Molecule: long non-coding RNA, 461 nt
Organism: Entelurus aequoreus (snake pipefish)
Lineage: Eukaryota; Metazoa; Chordata; Actinopteri; Syngnathiformes; Syngnathidae
Exons: 3
Source: RefSeq, a predicted model, not a curated record